RNAcentral lists this ribosomal RNA (468 nucleotides) under uncultured bacterium. RNAcentral's name for it is "partial 16S ribosomal RNA". It matches the Rfam family "Bacterial small subunit ribosomal RNA", at positions 28 to 507 of the family's 1533-position model. The record is from RNAcentral.
GACGAACGCUGGCGGCGUGCCUAACACAUGCAAGUCGAACGGAAAGGCCCUGCUCUUGUUCGGUGCUCGAUUGCCGAACGCGUGAGUAUCACGUGUGUAUCCUGCCCUUGUCUUUCGGAUAACUUUACGAAACUGGGGCUAAUAUCGCAUAGGAUCUCCUGCUCCAUGGUGGGGGUUGGAAAGUUUCGGCUGUUGUGGCUGGACUGGCGGCUUACCAGCUUGUUAGUGGGGUAGUGGCUUACCCAGGCUUUGACGGGUAGCCGGCCUGAGAGGGUGACCGGCGACAUUGGGACUGAGAGACGGCCCAGACUGGUACGGGAGGCAGAAGUGGGAAAUAUUGCACAAUGGGCGGAAGCCGGAUGCAGAAGCGCCGCGUGCGGGAAGACGGCCUUAGGGGUGUAAACCGAUUUCGCCUGUGACGAAGCGUGAGUGACGGUAAUGGGUAAAGAAGCACCGGCUAACUACGUG